CCCAACUAUCCCUAUUAAUCAUUACGGUGAUCCUAGAAACCAACAAAAUAGAAUCAUGCCGUCCUAUUUCAUUAUUCCAUGCUAAUCUAUUCAAGCAUAAAGCCUGCUUUAAACACUCUAAUUUUUUCAAAGUAACAGUCCUAGCUUCCUAUUACACCUAAUGAAAGGCAUAAUAGUUCACUAGAAGGUGGAGAUUGACAACUACCAGUACAUGUCCGAAAACACGACCGAUAUGCCAAUCCCGAAAUUCAACUACGAGCUUUUUAACUGCAACAACUUUAAUAUACGCUAUUGGAGCUGGAAUUACCGCGGCUGCUGGCACCAGACUUGCCCUCCAA
This 338-nucleotide unclassified non-coding RNA is filed under the name uncultured Glomerales. RNAcentral describes it as "sequence contains 18S rRNA gene". Lineage: Eukaryota; Fungi; Glomeromycota; Glomeromycetes; Glomerales; Glomeraceae. The record is from RNAcentral.